Molecule: transfer RNA, 88 nt
Filed under: Chloroflexota bacterium
Lineage: Bacteria; Bacillati; Chloroflexota
Also listed under: 2 other names
Description: Chloroflexi bacterium tRNA-Ser
Rfam family: tRNA
About the family: Transfer RNA (tRNA) molecules are approximately 80 nucleotides in length.
Source: RNAcentral
GGAGGGGUGCCAGAGUGGUUGAUUGGGCACGCCUGGAAAGCGUGUGUACCUCACGGUACCGUGGGUUCGAAUCCCACCCCCUCCGCCA